AACCUAACAUAUUUUUUGAGCAAACCUAGCAUGUAAUUAACUAAUAUAUCAAAUGGUCAUUAUUGACCAAUUAACUAAUAUAUCAAAUGGUCGAUACUGAUGUGUUCUAUGAAACAUGAGGUCAAGCUAAAUUUAUAAAUUUCAUCUGACGGCCACCUUGAAGUUUUUUCAAUCUUGAUAAACCAAUACUAAAACAACUGGGACUAAACCACAAUAGUUGCAUAUAAAAUAUUGACAUGAAUUGUUUCAAAUAUAUUAAAAACCAAAGUAAGGGGAUUAAACAAUGAAUGUAAAGAAAAAGGUUGAUAGUGAUAUAUAAUUAACUGAUAAAUAGAUUUUUAUAGACCAACUUUUCUUUUAAAAAAUCUGGGAAUUUGAGUUAAAUAUAUACUUAUGCAGAUCAGUAUUAGAGAUAGUAUAUUCGCUCGUUUAUGCGAGUUGCGUUGUUCACCGAUGUCAUAUACUCCCUCGUUUCGAUUUAAAAUUUUUGUUUCAAAAUAAGUGCCGUUUUAGAGUUUUCAAUGCAAAGUUUAUUAAUAAAAUUCUCUAAUUUAUUUUUCUAUUGGUUGAAAUAUGGUUAUGUGUAUAAGUAAUUGUGUUUUUGUUUUGGAAAUAUACAAAAUCAUAUGUUUUCUUAAUUUGUGUGUAUAAAUUUAGAAUGACAAUAAAAUAAAACGGAGGGAGUAUGUUGCAAGCUUUUAACAUUUAGACCCCAGAAAAUAUAUAUGUUACAAGCUGAAACCUCCAUUACAGGGAUUUAGAUAUGUUUUACUGUAAUCCUUAAUCCUUAUGAACAUCAUAUCUAAUAUGUAUGUUUGAAAUAUUGUAAAUGAAUGAACAAUAUAGAGUACGAAAAUGUGUGUGAAAGAGGCAGGGAGACAAGGUUGAGAAAAAAAUAAAUAGCUAAUCCACAUGUAUAUGCACAAUAUUACUCAUAUAAUCUUUCUUUUUUUUUUAAACUGGCCUAAUAUUACUCAUAUAUACACAUGCUUAUUAAUAAUUAAUCCUCACAUGGACUCUUUCUCGCUCUCGCCCUUUCUCACUAUAUAGGUAUGUGUACUUUUUGUUAUUAGCUUUCAAAAUCUUUCUAAAUACUUCAAAGGACAUAAUCUCAAAAAGGAUCAAAGAUCAAACAAUAUGGCAUUAAUGGCGAAGAAUAAUCCAUACGAGUACACAAAGAUGGAGAAAGAAGAUCCCCAAGAUUUGAGUCACACAAGAGCUCAAUUUCUAAUCCAGAAGGUUUUGGAACGGGCAGACCAGAAGACAAGACAGCAGCAGCAGCGGAGAAAGAGAUCAUCUGGACCGUUGAUUAUGAUCAGAGUGGUUGGGUUAAGAAUGAGAUCGGUAAGAAACUAAGGAAGCUGAGGAAGAACAAUACUUGUGUUUGCACCACUCUUAUCUCUCGUUUCCUCAAACCGUUUAAACGAUUUUGGUCAUCUUCUCCUUCUUCUCCAACAAUCUCUGAUCUUUCUCCUUUAUUCUCUCUUCAAGAUUGAUGAUUUGGAAUUGUUUUUUUUUUUUGUUGUAAUGCAUUCUCAUGUCCUUCCUACACGUCAAUUAAAAGCGCUAUAUAUGUGGCCUGAAAAAAAAGGCAAAUAGCUUUAUUAA
This is an RNA transcript of Brassica napus (rape), 1608 nucleotides long. RefSeq lists it as uncharacterized. NCBI's taxonomy places the organism in Eukaryota, Viridiplantae, Streptophyta, Magnoliopsida, Brassicales, Brassicaceae. The transcript has a single exon. The record is from RefSeq and is a predicted model, not a curated record.